Molecule: ribosomal RNA, 1732 nt
Filed under: Escherichia coli
Lineage: Bacteria; Pseudomonadati; Pseudomonadota; Gammaproteobacteria; Enterobacterales; Enterobacteriaceae
Description: partial 23S ribosomal RNA
Rfam family: Bacterial large subunit ribosomal RNA
Source: RNAcentral
CUGUGUGUUGUUGGGUAGGGGAGCGUUCUGUAAGCCUGUGAAGGUGUACUGUGAGGUAUGCUGGAGGUAUCAGAAGUGCGAAUGCUGACAUAAGUAACGAUAAAGCGGGUGAAAAGCCCGCUCGCCGGAAGACCAAGGGUUCCUGUCCAACGUUAAUCGGGGCAGGGUGAGUCGACCCCUAAGGCGAGGCCGAAAGGCGUAGUCGAUGGGAAACAGGUUAAUAUUCCUGUACUUGGUGUUACUGCGAAGGGGGGACGGAGAAGGCUAUGUUGGCCGGGCGACGGUUGUCCCGGUUUAAGCGUGUAGGCUGGUUUUCCAGGCAAAUCCGGAAAAUCAAGGCUGAGGCGUGAUGACGAGGCACUACGGUGCUGAAGCAACAAAUGCCCUGCUUCCAGGAAAAGCCUCUAAGCAUCAGGUAACAUCAAAUCGUACCCCAAACCGACACAGGUGGUCAGGUAGAGAAUACCAAGGCGCUUGAGAGAACUCGGGUGAAGGAACUAGGCAAAAUGGUGCCGUAACUUCGGGAGAAGGCACGCUGAUAUGUAGGUGAAGCGACUUGCUCGUGGAGCUGAAAUCAGUCGAAGAUACCAGCUGGCUGCAACUGUUUAUUAAAAACACAGCACUGUGCAAACACGAAAGUGGACGUAUACGGUGUGACGCCUGCCCGGUGCCGGAAGGUUAAUUGAUGGGGUUAGCGCAAGCGAAGCUCUUGAUCGAAGCCCCGGUAAACGGCGGCCGUAACUAUAACGGUCCUAAGGUAGCGAAAUUCCUUGUCGGGUAAGUUCCGACCUGCACGAAUGGCGUAAUGAUGGCCAGGCUGUCUCCACCCGAGACUCAGUGAAAUUGAACUCGCUGUGAAGAUGCAGUGUACCCGCGGCAAGACGGAAAGACCCCGUGAACCUUUACUAUAGCUUGACACUGAACAUUGAGCCUUGAUGUGUAGGAUAGGUGGGAGGCUUUGAAGUGUGGACGCCAGUCUGCAUGGAGCCGACCUUGAAAUACCACCCUUUAAUGUUUGAUGUUCUAACGUGGACCCGUGAUCCGGGUUGCGGACAGUGUCUGGUGGGUAGUUUGACUGGGGCGGUCUCCUCCUAAAGAGUAACGGAGGAGCACGAAGGUUGGCUAAUCCUGGUCGGACAUCAGGAGGUUAGUGCAAUGGCAUAAGCCAGCUUGACUGCGAGCGUGACGGCGCGAGCAGGUGCGAAAGCAGGUCAUAGUGAUCCGGUGGUUCUGAAUGGAAGGGCCAUCGCUCAACGGAUAAAAGGUACUCCGGGGAUAACAGGCUGAUACCGCCCAAGAGUUCAUAUCGACGGCGGUGUUUGGCACCUCGAUGUCGGCUCAUCACAUCCUGGGGCUGAAGUAGGUCCCAAGGGUAUGGCUGUUCGCCAUUUAAAGUGGUACGCGAGCUGGGUUUAGAACGUCGUGAGACAGUUCGGUCCCUAUCUGCCGUGGGCGCUGGAGAACUGAGGGGGGCUGCUCCUAGUACGAGAGGACCGGAGUGGACGCAUCACUGGUGUUCGGGUUGUCAUGCCAAUGGCACUGCCCGGUAGCUAAAUGCGGAAGAGAUAAGUGCUGAAAGCAUCUAAGCACGAAACUUGCCCCGAGAUGAGUUCUCCCUGACUCCUUGAGAGUCCUGAAGGAACGUUGAAGACGACGACGUUGAUAGGCCGGGUGUGUAAGCGCAGCGAUGCGUUGAGCUAACCGGUACUAAUGAACCGUGAGGCUUAACCUU